GAGAAUUGUACCAAAAACAAUAUGGACAAUCCAUCCAUAUCCCACCUUGUGUGCACCCAUUGAAACCAUGCUUUGGGAGGUUUCUCCUCUGUUGGAAUUGGAGAUACUCAAGCCUCCCAAGGUUUUUGUUCUCGCAACACUUUUUUUUUUCCUGAAAAAUCAAACAUAAUAAUAAUAAAUA
Molecule: unclassified non-coding RNA, 181 nt
Filed under: soil metagenome
Description: partial internal transcribed spacer 1
Source: RNAcentral